AGCUCCAGUAGCGUAUAUUAAAGUUGUUGCAGUUAAAAAGCUCGUAGUUGGAUUUCUGGCGUGACGCGCCUGGCCCGCUGCCAUUUGGUAUGUGAGUGCUGGUGCGCGUCUGCCAUCCUUCUAGAAAACGUCUUUUCCCCUUCGUUGGCGGAACUUACGUGAUCUAGAUCUUUUACUUUGAAAAAAUUAGAGUGUUCAAAGCAGGCUUUCGCUGUGAAUACAUUAGCAUGGAAUAAUAAUAUAGGACUUUGUUUCCUAUUUUGUUGGUUCUAGGAAUGAAGUAAUGAUUGAUAGGGAUAGUUGGGGGUGCUCGUAUUCAGCGGCCAGAGGUGAAAUUCUUGGAUUCGCUGAAGACGAACUUAUGCGAAAGCAUUCACCAAGGAUGUCUUCUUUAAUCAAG
RNAcentral lists this ribosomal RNA (400 nucleotides) under phytoplankton environmental sample. Its description in RNAcentral is "partial small subunit ribosomal RNA". It matches the Rfam family "Eukaryotic small subunit ribosomal RNA", at positions 587 to 981 of the family's 1831-position model. The record is from RNAcentral.